AACUCCAAAUUUAUCAUGUUUUAUAACUUAGUAGCUUUUAUAACUCCUUUUUAAUAAUGAAAUCAUGGUAGGCUCUGUCUGCACAUAAAAAUGGGCAUAUUUGAACUUGAUCUUUUUGCCAUAGAGGACCACCACCAUUUUACUCCCCUAAAUACAUAAUUUAUUCCUGACAUCUAAAAUACACAUCUAGUAUUAUGCACAAUAUUGUGUUAUAUAUUAUUACACCUCGCUGAUAUAAUUUGAAGGCAACCUAUACUUAGCUUCGCAACUAAAUCAAUCUUAAUAAGUAUUUGUCUAAGUAAUAUUAACUAAGUAUUGGGGAAAAAAGCCCUGCAAAUGUGUUCAUGAAGCAUAGAUUUAAAUAACUGUAAUUUAAGCUUGUUCUAAAGAUUUAUGACCAAUAGCAAGUAAAAGGAAUUAUGUAUUUCUUUGUACAUCUAAUUUUACAGUGGAAUAAACAUAAUGAAUAAAAUCCACUGAAUGACUUGAAACAAUAAGAGCUUCGGGAGCUUGCGAAUUAAAUUACUUAUUUGUUUCUCUGUCUCUGUAGAUUCUACAGUUUUAAUUCCUAGUGGCCCAAACUGAGUAAGGCAGAUUCAUGUGAUUAUUUUUCUGUCUCUUCGUUUAGGACAGUUUGAAAAGGAGCCCAAAUGCCACAAGAUUGUAUUUUGCUCAUCAAUGCCACAGCUUUGAUGGCACCUAAAAACUGCUCUCCACUGAAGGACCCUGAAGCCUGAAAUCCUGAGCCAAGUAUUCUGUCACUGUUCUACAAAACAAUAAAUAAUGAAGUAAAUUGAAGAUGUAUGAAUUGUGCCAGCUUGACAGAAAAUGGAGCCGAUGUUCUUGGAGGUAUUACAGCAGUAUUUCCUAAUGAGCAGCCAGAGCCUCUCUCUAGCAUCUCAGAAAACCAAACAGGAAUGCAGGAUAAGAAAGUGGAAGUAAAGACAAAGGGAAUAUUUAUUUGGGAUUAACUUGUAGUUACUUGAGCUGAUAUACCUAUACUAAAGGAACAAAGGAAAUGAUGGAUCUUGUAACCAUCAGGCUUAUUGUAUAAACAUCAUUCUCUUUCAUUCCACGUUGGGAAAAACAAACCCUUUCUCCAAAUUUUACUUUAUAUAUAAAAUGUGUUAAUAAAACCAAAUGUGUUUUAACAAAUGUGUAUUAAUAAAAACUAGUGUAUUUAAUAAAACUAAAAAUAGAUGAUAAUAUUUGU
Molecule: non-coding RNA, 1213 nt
Organism: Macaca mulatta (Rhesus monkey)
Lineage: Eukaryota; Metazoa; Chordata; Mammalia; Primates; Cercopithecidae
Source: RefSeq, a predicted model, not a curated record